Molecule: ribosomal RNA, 119 nt
Filed under: Paramormyrops kingsleyae
Lineage: Eukaryota; Metazoa; Chordata; Actinopteri; Osteoglossiformes; Mormyridae
Source: RNAcentral
UACAAUAGCUAUAUCAUGUGCAUGUCCGAGAUUAGGUAAUCCAUUUGAACCUAACCAGGAUUGGGCCUGGCCAGUACUGGAAUGGGAGACCAAGUAGGAAAUCUGGAUUGCUGCUGGUG